ACUUAUUCAAAAUCCACACUCCAGAUGUCCGACCAUGUCUUCGUGGAGACUAUAUAUAUAUAAAAAAACGCAAAAGCAAUUAAGCAAAAAUAUACCUAUAUAUUUACAACUCUAGGAAAUGAUUUUAACAUGAAAGUAUACGAGGAAUAUUGAGCCAGGGCAUCAUGCCAAGAAUGGUAACAGUGCAGCAUGAUUUCAAGGCAACAUUCUUGAGAGUCCAUUCAAGAGGUUCAAUGGAGAAUUCUUUUAAUGCAUCCAUAACUAUAAGCACAUGUUUAGGAACAUCUGAUGACCCCAUGAGUGUCAGUUGAAAGUUGAAAUGUAUUUUCUUCCCCAAGUUGUUCUCUUCUAUAUUAGUAGCCAUGGCCUCCAUUUUAAUUAUUUCUUUUCUUUUUUUUUUUUUGAAGGAGAACGGAAGGGAUUUGCUCAAGGGCUUUCAGAUAGUUAUAUAGAAGUUUUCAGGAGCUGAAGAAGAGGAAGAAUGAAACAGGAAUAUAAUUUGUUCGAUGUUAACAAGAAAUGCUUUAUAAAACCUAUGAUGUAAAAGAACAUCAUGCAAAGAAGCCAAAUAAGUUGCCUGGUUUGAGGUGAUCUCCUUUCUCUUUGUUUAUUGGAGAUUCUUGGAUCCCAACUCUUUCUUACGACAAGCUCAAAAAUAACUCUGAACUAAGCACGUAUUUUACUCCUAAAACAAAUCUAACACAUAGGAAAGCUCCAUUGGUUUUCUGCAUUCUAAAGAGGUUACAUCUUUUUUAUUAGUGGUUUCUUUUGCACAACCAGUAAUUUGAAGUUACAAUUAUUUUUUGUCUCAAAAUUCUAAAACUUGAUUAUUCAAAUAUUCAAGUUUUAGAUAUUAACCACAAGUAGGCAUUCUGGUUUUGAAAGCGCGAGAUUUGGACAACUUUAAGUUUUAAAAAAACUCCUAACUUUACUCAAAGACUAAUUAGAUAUUGAGAAUUUGUGUCAACUAGUUUGGAAUUAAUUUAUGAAAUUUAACAAAAUUUAUGAAUGAAUAAAUUAGUGGCACUUAUGUAGUACAGAAAUUAAAAGUUCCUACAAAAUCUCGCUAGGUAUAUAAGAGAUUAUAAUUCUCAACUGUGAGAAUAUAACAUAAAACUCUUACUCUGCACUAUACAGUGGAACUCGGAAAUAUAAACAACAAAAUAACAGCUGCUAUUAUCUAAAAACUACCCCUCAUGUUUGUUUGAGGAUACAGAUCAAGACCCUAUUCCAUUGGUUCAGAUUUUCCAGUUAAAAAUUUCAUGAGAUACCAAAAUUAUUAGUGUUAUUGCCAAAUGUAA
Molecule: long non-coding RNA, 1301 nt
Filed under: Nicotiana tabacum (common tobacco)
Lineage: Eukaryota; Viridiplantae; Streptophyta; Magnoliopsida; Solanales; Solanaceae
Description: long non-coding RNA (NTAB_LNC000350)
Source: RNAcentral